RNAcentral lists this ribosomal RNA (253 nucleotides) under uncultured bacterium. RNAcentral describes it as "partial 16S ribosomal RNA". It matches the Rfam family "Bacterial small subunit ribosomal RNA", at positions 524 to 776 of the family's 1533-position model. The record is from RNAcentral.
GACAGAGGGUGCAAACGUUGUUCGGAAUUACUGGGCGUAAAGCGCACGCAGGCGGUCUCUUAAGUUUGGAGUGACAGUUGGUGGCUUAACUGCCAAAGUGCUUCGAAAACUGAGAGACUUGAGGGCUUCAGAGGGACACGGAAUUCCGGGUGGAGUGGUGAAAUGCGUAGAGAUCCGGAGGAACACCAAAGGCGAAGGCAGUGUCCUGGGGAGUACCUGACGCUCAGGUGCGAAAGCCAGGGGAGCGAACGGG